UUUGAAGAAGAGUUCAAAUCUCUUUCUUUCUUUUCUUUUCUUCUCUUUCUUUUCUUUCUUUUUUUCUUUC
RNAcentral lists this non-coding RNA (70 nucleotides) under Aurantiochytrium limacinum. The record is from RNAcentral. Lineage: Eukaryota; Bigyra; Thraustochytrida; Thraustochytriidae.